RNAcentral lists this ribosomal RNA (396 nucleotides) under Triticum aestivum (bread wheat). Its description in RNAcentral is "partial small subunit ribosomal RNA". The record is from RNAcentral. Lineage: Eukaryota; Viridiplantae; Streptophyta; Magnoliopsida; Poales; Poaceae.
AUGCCUGAUGGCAUGCACAAGUCUGCUGAAGGCUGUGAGACAAAUCCAACAUAUAUUGCAGCAAAGAAGGCAAAACAUCUUGAAGAUAGCGAGACAAACCCAAAGUCUUGUCUUGAUGCAGUGUUCAAGUUACUUGAGACUAACAGUCAGACAAGCUCACAGAAUUCGUUGUCUGAAUUAGUUCGACUUCUUCAGUCCCAAGUUCUAGCAGAAAGGCAUUCUGCAACUCAACUUCGACUUGAAGUCCUAUCUCUAAGAAAGAUUGCGGAGAAAACCAAUGAGAACCUCAUCACUAAACAGCUACUCCUGGAAGCUAUGACCGACAUACUAGGCCGGUCUCACGGCCUUGCUCAGCAGCUUGCGCAGCAGUUCCCCCGCAAGCCUAACCUUUCUUGA